CUGCCAUCUGCUGAAUCUGACAGAAAGUGAUUUGUGUGUUCCUGUCUCUCCGGUGGAGGUUUCAGCCUUCCUAAAUGGGAGGAGAAGGCAGGUCCCCCCACAGAUGUGCUUAUCGUAGCGUAGGAGCUGAUGUUGCAGGGUGUAGGCUUACAUGCUGCACUUGAUAGUUCCCAUCACCCCAGUGGCAGCAAGAAAGGGAGGGGGCCUGAGGUGGAUGACACAUCAACCCACAGAAGAAAUAUUCACCAGGGGACAUGGGGCAUCAUUGGAUGAGGGCAGUGGUGGUUCUGGUAGAUGAAUGUGUUGAUUUUAUGUGGCUAGCCUUACUUCUCCUGAUAGGGAGGCCAAGGUAGUGUGGGUUCUUCUGACCUGCACUCCUGCCACCAGUGCCCAAAAUGACUGGGAGCAGCAUGGCUGGGGUCCUGCCUUCUCUCAUCAGCUCUUGAAGACUUGGUGGCACUCCUGUCUGUAGGAAGCUGGCAGUUUAGCCAGUUUCCAGAAAAUAUGGAACUUGCUUCAAGAGGUUACGUUGUGAGUACCAUGGCAGGCACUGAUAAAUCCAGGCGUCCGAUCUCAGCAGGUUGGAUUAUCUAUUGAGCUGCCCUGGCCUUUCCCUGCUGCAGAACAGGUCUUCUACUGGUGCAGAAAGAGCUGGAGCUGCGCUUGCCUCUCCUCUCUAGGCAAAUCACCAAGAAAGGAGCUGGUCCAGCUUAACCCUUGGCACAAAGCACGUCUAAGAACGAGCAGCCUGUUGGGCUGCAUGCCAGGAAAGCAUCAGGGGAGAGAGAGAGAAAAAAAAAAAAAAAAGCAGAAAACCAGAACAUAAACACAAGAUUGCUGCGGUAAUUGGUGGCUCUGAAAAACACUGAGGAAAUGUGAGGCUUGUAUGAAACAUCAGCAGACAAGAAGCGGGGUGAUGUCAGACGGCCUUCCAGGAUUAGAAACCCUUAAAAGCUCCCGAGUGCGGAACUGCCUGCGAAACGCGCUGCGGCUCUUUGGCGUGGAAGGACCCGAGGAGGACAAGUUCUGUUGAAAACCAACCCCGUGGUUCAGGUUCAGGAGAAUAAAAAGAAAUAAAGGAGGAGAAGGGAAGAGCGGCAGAUAAAAGGAGGGAAAAAUGAGAGGAAAAUGAAGACAAAAAAUGGAAGAGGAAGAAAGGAAGGAGGUAGUGAAGAGAAUAAAGGAGAGGUGAAGCAAGAAGACAAAAGAAGAAAAAUAAAAGGAAGAGAAAAAAUGGAAAAGACAAAAGAAAGCAAACAGAAGAAAGAAAAAUAAAAGAAAGAAUGAGAGAAGGAAGUAAAAAAUGUUGUGAGUACAGUAAGCAUGGCAAAAGAGAAGCAGGGCUUUUUGGAUGCAAAUAUGAAAAUAUCGAGGGAUUCAACACAAACAUCUCAUUACCCCAAAUUAAGUCAAUACAACUAUAAUAGAAGAAAGAUCAGAGAGAAUGGAAUUGUAGUUGCAAUAAUGCUGGAGCCACACAGAAAAAGGCUUUGAACAGGGGUACACAAAACCAGAAAAAAUAAAGAAGGAAAAAAAACCUCUCCCACACAUUAUUUGUUGUUUCUACUUCUGUUGGCUUCUUUCCUCGGGGGAAAAUAGAAAUACAAUACCAGACAUUUUAUAUACAUGUAUAUAUGUGUAGAGAGGAGAGUCUUCUAGCAAAUCUCUUUAAAAACAAAGGGUGCGGGGUAAGUGCGACCAAGGAGCAGCGUGGGGGAAGGUGUGGGGAUGCAUGCAGAUAGGGG
This is a long non-coding RNA of Gallus gallus (chicken), 1745 nucleotides long. Lineage: Eukaryota; Metazoa; Chordata; Aves; Galliformes; Phasianidae. The record is from Ensembl.